GACGAACGCUGGCGGCGUGCUUAACACAUGCAAGUCGAACGGAAAGGCCCUGCUGUUGUGGGGUGCUCGAGUGGCGAACGGGUGAGUAACACGUGAGUAACCUGCCCUUGACUUUGGGAUAACUUCAGGAAACUGGGGCUAAUACCGGAUAGGAGCUCCUGCUGCAUGGUGGGGGUUGGAAAGUUUCGGCGGUUGGGGAUGGACUCGCGGCUUAUCAGCUUGUUGGUGGGGUAGUGGCUUACCAAGGCUUUGACGGGUAGCCGGCCUGAGAGGGUGUCCGGCCACAUGGGGACUACGAUACCGCCCAGACUCCUACGGGAGGCAGCAGUGGGGAAUAUUGCCCAAUGGGAGGAAGCCUGAUGCAGCAACGCCGCGUGCGGGAUGACGGCCUUCGGGUUGUAAACCGCUUUCGCCUGUGACGAAGCGUGAGUGACGGUAAUGGGUAAAGAAGCACUGUCUAACUACGUG
This 468-nucleotide ribosomal RNA is filed under the name uncultured bacterium. RNAcentral's name for it is "partial 16S ribosomal RNA". It matches the Rfam family "Bacterial small subunit ribosomal RNA", at positions 28 to 507 of the family's 1533-position model. The record is from RNAcentral.